Molecule: ribosomal RNA, 272 nt
Filed under: uncultured Oscillibacter sp.
Lineage: Bacteria; Bacillati; Bacillota; Clostridia; Eubacteriales; Oscillospiraceae
Description: partial 16S ribosomal RNA
Rfam family: Bacterial small subunit ribosomal RNA
Source: RNAcentral
AUUCUUCGGAGGAAUGAAGAGAUGGAGAGCGGCGGACGGGUGAGUAACGCGUGAGGAACCUGCCUUUCAGAGGGGGACAACAGUUGGAAACGACUGCUAAUACCGCAUGAUGUUACCGGAGGGCAUCCUUUGGUAACCAAAGAUUUAUCGCUGAAAGAUGGCCUCGCGUCUGAUUAGCUAGUUGGUGAGGUAACGGCCCACCAAGGCGACGAUCAGUAGCCGGACUGAGAGGUUGAACGGCCACAUUGGGACUGAGAUACGGCCCAGACUCC